This 253-nucleotide ribosomal RNA is filed under the name uncultured bacterium. RNAcentral describes it as "partial 16S ribosomal RNA". It matches the Rfam family "Bacterial small subunit ribosomal RNA", at positions 524 to 776 of the family's 1533-position model. The record is from RNAcentral.
UACGAAGGGGGCUAGCGUUGUUCGGAAUUACUGGGCGUAAAGAGCGCGCAGGCGGUCGUUCAAGUCGAGUGUGAAAGCCCCCGGCUCAACUGGGGAGGGUCAUUCGAUACUGAUCGACUCGAAGGCAGGAGAGGGAAGUGGAAUUCCCGGUGUAGUGGUGAAAUGCGUAGAUAUCGGGAGGAACACCAGUGGCGAAGGCGACUUCCUGGCCUGUUCUUGACGCUGAGGCGCGAAAGCUAGGGGAGCAAACGGG